GGUGGCGUAGCUCAGUUGGCAUGAGAGCAGGCGAUCGAUAAUCGCCCGGUCGCAAGUUCGAUUCUUGCCGCCACCACCA
Molecule: transfer RNA, 79 nt
Filed under: Pyrinomonadaceae bacterium
Lineage: Bacteria; Pseudomonadati; Acidobacteriota; Blastocatellia; Blastocatellales; Pyrinomonadaceae
Description: tRNA-Ile
Rfam family: tRNA
About the family: Transfer RNA (tRNA) molecules are approximately 80 nucleotides in length.
Source: RNAcentral